UACGGAGGGGGUUAGCGUUGUUCGGAAUUACUGGGCGUAAAGCGUACGUAGGCGGAUUAGUAAGUUGGGGGUGAAAUCCCGGGGCUCAACCCCGGAACUGCCUCCAAAACUACUAGUCUUGAGAUCGUGAGAGGUGAGUGGAAUUCCGAGUGUAGAGGUGAAAUUCGUAGAUAUUCGCAAGAACACCAGUGGCGAAGGCGGCUCACUGGCCCGAUACUGACGCUGAGGUGCGAAAGCGUGGGGAGCAAACAGG
Molecule: ribosomal RNA, 253 nt
Filed under: uncultured bacterium
Lineage: Bacteria
Description: partial 16S ribosomal RNA
Rfam family: Bacterial small subunit ribosomal RNA
Source: RNAcentral